Long non-coding RNA from Loxodonta africana (African savanna elephant), 28600 nucleotides. RefSeq lists it as uncharacterized. NCBI's taxonomy places the organism in Eukaryota, Metazoa, Chordata, Mammalia, Proboscidea, Elephantidae. The transcript has 3 exons. The record is from RefSeq and is a predicted model, not a curated record.
UCUUAUAGGGUCGCUAUGAGUUGGGAUCAACUUGAUGGCACUGGGUUUAACAUUUUCUUUGUUCCUUGUACUCUCUUGUGCUGAGUUCCUUUUGUUUGUGGAUUUCUUUUUUAUUUCUUUUGUUUUUGUAGAUUUUUUUUUAAAUUGAGACUUUAUGUUUUUCUUCUUUAUUUUGAUGAGUAGGUUUGUUAACUUUCUUUGUGGUUACCUUGAAAUUUACCCUUAUCUUCCUAGGUUUGAACCUAGGUAUCACUUUUUCUUCCUCUCCCUUAGAAUGUUCUGUACCUACACAGUUUAUUCCCUUUUUUUAUUACUCUGAUGUUGUUGUCAUGUACACAGUAACCUCUUGGGUUCCUUACUGUAUUUUGUUUGGUUUGGAUAGCCCUUGAGAACUAAUUUCCUAUGUUGGCACCUGGCUGGUACAAUCUUGCAUCCUAGAUUCAGGCUGUGGUCUGAUGUUGUUUAUUCUCUGACCGAAGGACUCCCUUCAAUAAUUCUUGUAAGUUUGGUUUGGUUUUUACAUAUUUCCUAAUUUUUGUUUGUCUGGAAAUGUCCUAAUUUCACAAUCAUAUUUGAAUGAGAGUUUUGCGGGAUACUUUAUUCAUGGUUGGCAACUUUUUUCUUUCCAAGUUUUAUAUAUGUCCUCCCUUUGCCUUUUUGCCUGCAUGGUUUCUGCUGAAUAAUCGUAGUCUUAUUGUUUCUCCUCCUUUUGUGAGUUUUUGUUUUUCUUGAGCUGCCAGGAGGAUUUUUUCCUUCAUCUUUGGUUUUAGCAAGUGUGAUUAUGAUAUGCCUUGGUGAUUUUCUUUUGGGGUCUAUCCUAUAUGGGGUUCGUUGAGCUUCUUGGAUGGUCAGCUUUUCAUCUUUCUUGAUAUUAGGGAAGUUUUCUGUCAACAAUUCUUCCAUGAUCCUCUCUGUGUUUUCCGUUUUCUCCCCCUGUCCUGGAACUCAGAUCACUUGCAAGUUUUUGCUUUUGAUUGUAUCCCACAAAAUUCUCCGGGGUUCUUCAUUCUUUUUUUCUGGUUUUUCCUCAAACAGAGUUGUAUCCAAGUGUUUGUCUUCAGUUUUGCUGAUUCUGUCUCCCAUCAUUUCAAACCUACUCUCCAGCCCUUCUAUGACACUGUCCAUUUCUGAAAUCUUGCUGUUUAUCUUUGGAUUUCUAAUUAUUGUUUUUGUAUGAUUUCAAGCUGUGAAUUUAUUUUGGCUUUUUGUUCCUGUAUUAUUUUGCUGAAAUCUUCCAUUUUUUUUUGGUCUGUAUUUUCCAUGAAUUUUCCUGACUUUUUCUUGACUUUCUCUAUUUUUUCCUCAUUUUUGUCUGAUUUUUAUUUCAACUCCUGGGUAGCUCUGAAUAUUAGAGAUUUGAGUUCCCUAUCAUGUGGCUCUAGUGUCUUUUCUUCUACUGGAAAGUCAUCUGGUGUUUUAUUUUGGAUGCCUACUGGAAACAUACUGUCUAUUUUUUAUUUUUUAUAUUGUCUGUUGUCUUUGGGACAUUCAGUAGUUAUUUUCUUCAUUUAUUCAUUGUACCUCUGUUUGUUUCACCCUGCUUUUUUGUUUUAUUUGGUUAUGUCUGAGGAGUGAGGCUGUGUGUUCUUUGUUGCUUACUUGUCUGUGGUCACGAUAGUUUUCACCUCCUUGUCCAAUGGGCAGAACCAGUUGCUCAGCUAUGGUGCAGCAAGGCAGGCUCAGCUGAAGGGGAGGGGCUAGGAUGGGUUGUUUGUGGUAUGCACUAGGGUCAACAGAGUGGGCUGGGAAAUUGAAGGGCAGGCCAUGCCUGUGCUGCUUGGGGGUGUGAUGUUCAGUGCAUGGUACAUGUAGGCAAGCAGGAGGGGGGAGGUUGUGAUGUGUGGAGCUUAUAUUUGUAGGGGAAAGAGGAGAGAAAGGAGAGAGAAACAAGAUCCAAAAACAAACAAACAAAAAAGGGCCCUAAGGGAGCUUGCUGUUGGGAUGCAGAGAUGAGGAACUGAUAAAUGGAGAAAAACAAAAGGGAAAAAGAAAAAAAACAAUCACUUGUUAAAAAUUUGAAGAAAAAAAAAAAAAGAAAAGCCCCCAGGGAUCCCACUAAUGGGGCUGCAAAUAUCAGAGAAGUGGCUGCCAGGCUGUGCCGUACAGCCUAUCUAGAGGUGGUAUAGAUGAUGUCACACAGCAGCACCUAUUCAGGAGACAGGAAAAGCAGAUAAGUACAGAGAGAUACGAACUGAGACGUGAAGAAAAAUAGAAAGGGAAAAAAGAGAAAGAAAAAAAGAAAUGAGCCCAGGGAUCCCACCGAUGUGGCUGCACAGAUUGGGGGAGUGGCUCCUAAGUCAUGCAGUGCAGCCCAGCUAGAAGGGGCUUGCAAGCCACGAAAAGAAAAAGAAAAUGAACAAGCAAACAAAGCAGAACAAAACAUGGCAAAAAAAAAAAAAAAAAAAAGCCCCAGUGAUUUCACCAGCUUGGUGUCUUGGGCUGGGGGAGUGGUUCCCCAGUUGAGUGGCACUUCAUGACCUUUCAAGAGGAAGUAAAGAUGGCACAUGGAGCCAGGCAUUGGAGAGAAAGGAGGGGGAGGUGGUGGCAAGCAUGGAAGAAACCAAAGAAAUGGAAAAAAAGCAAUAACAGCAACAGAGAAAUGGCACUCAGGGAGCCCGCCAGCGUGGGUGGGGUGAAUCCAAACAGUCACCAGCUGAAGCAGUUGCCUCCUGGCCAGGAGACUGUGGCUGGCAGGAAGCAGAGGUGGCAGUGCAGGGGAGGGAAGAAGGUUGGGGGUUAGGAAAGGGUAUAUCUCUGGUUACUGGGUGCUCUGUCAACUGCUGGGGACUUCGUGAAGCUACUUUCCUGUACUCCCUGUCCACUGAUUUCCAAUGUGGGUGAGGUGAAUCCAAGCGGCACAGAACCUUCAAUUCCUGGCUGGCCAAGCCACUGCUGACAACCAGGAAGCACAGAGGUCUUUGUUGUAAGAGGUACCACAGGAAGUGUCUGACUACUCUGCCAUCUUGGCGCUGCCUCCCCAAUAUGGCACUAUUCCUCAAGGUGAUUGGCCAGAAAACUGGUGGCAGGUUGAUUACAUUGGAGUGCUUCCAUCAUGGAAAGGGCAACAUUUCUUUCUUACUGGAAUUGACAUUUACUCUGGAUAUGGAUUUGUCUUCCCUUCAAGCAAUGCCUCUGCUAAAACCACCAUCCAGGACUCAUGGAAUGUCUUACCCACUGUCAUGGUAUCCCACACAGCAUUGCCUCAGAUCAAGGAACUCACUUCACAGCAAAUGAAGUAUGACAAUGGAUCCAUGCUCAUGGAAUCACUGGUUUUACCCUGUUCUCCAUUAUUCUGAAGCAAUGGGCUUGAUAGAACAAUGGGAUGGCCUUCUAAAGACACAAUUGCAACACCUGCUAGGUAGCAACACUUUGUAGGGUUGUGGCAAUGUUCUCCAGGAGACUGUAUAUGCUUUAAACCAGCAUCCAAUAUAUGGUGAUGCUUUUCCAAUAGCCAGGAUUCACUGUUCCAGGAAUCAGGUGGUAGAGAUGGGACCGGCAUCACUCACUAAUACCUUUAGUGACCCACUUGCAAAAUUUUUGCUUCCUGUCCCAUGACCUUAUGCUCUGUGGGUCUAGAGGUCUUAGUUCCAAAGGAGUAAUGCUCCCACCUGGAGACACAACUUGGAUGUCAUUGAACUAGAGAUUAAGAUAUAUAUAUGUAUGAUCUCUAGUGUAUAUAUAUAUAUGUGUGUGUGUGUGUGUAUAUGAUCUUGGGUAUAUCCCACCUGAAUUUAGAGACCAUAUCAAGAAUAGAUUUGAUGCAUUGCACUCUAAUGAAUGAAGAGCUGAUGAGUUGUGGAAUGAUAUCAAGGACAUUAUAAAUGAAGAAAGCAAGAGGUUAUUAAAAAGACAGGAAAGAAAGAAAACACCAAAAUGGAUGUCAGAAGAGACUCUGAAAGUUGCUCUUGAAUGCAGAGUAGCUAAAGCGAAAGGAAGAAAAGAUUACAUAAAAGAGCUGAGCAGAAGAUUUCAAAGGGCAGCUCAAGAAGAAAAAGUAAAUAUUAUAAUGAGAUGUGCCAAGGACAUGGAGACAGAAAACUCAGUCUUGAGUUGAAAUUUUGAAGAAUUCUGUGGGCAAAAUAUUGAAUCACACAGGAAGCACCAAAAGAAGAUGGAAGGAAUGCACAGACUUAUUGUACCAAAAAAAAAAAAAAAAAAAAUUGUAGACAUUCAACCAUUUCAUAUGAUCAAGAUGCAGAUGAUCAAGAACUGAUGGUGGAGGCAGAGCCAAGAUGGCAGAAUAAUCAGAAGCUUCCCUCGAGCCCUCUUUACAACAAAGACCCAAAAAAACAAGUGAAACGAGUAUAUUUGUGACAAGCUGGGAGGCCUGAGCAUCAAAGGCAAGCUUAGACAAUGAACUGAGGGGCAGGGGAAGGAAGAGACAGUUCAGAAGUGGAGAGAAGUUGCCGGACCUGAAUCUGGGAGCCCUCAGGCACCAUUCUGGGAACGGCUGGGGCAGUGGUGGCAGCGGUGGCAACGGGCUGGUCCUAGCAUUGGGCCGCAGUUUCCUUAGGGAGAAGCAGCCAGCCACACAGCCCACUCACACCUCCAGAACCUGAGGAGAAGGGUGCUCUCUGCAAAAGCUAAGUACUUGUGUAUAUUUUACCGCCCCCCCCACCCCAACCCAGCUUCAGUGGCUGAAUCCCUAGGCCUGAGAUAGACCCUGGUGAGCACCUGGAGCCGUCCUCCCAGCCUUGGGGAGGGAAAAAAUUUCCAAAUGGGGGCAAGAGAUAAUUUGCUAGCUCCAUUAACUGGGGGAGCUCAGGACAGAAGUGGCUCCUGUCCAGACAUAAACCGUCCAUGGACCUUGAGCACUUUUCCCUUCUGCAUGGACCUGUGUGGGCCUACUUCAGGAGAAUAGGCCCUUGUUGGCAAAAUCCGACCAUUUCAGUGGUGCAGUGGAGAGGUGGGUGUUUGACGUUUGAGAUUGCUUUCCUAUUAAACAAUGUUCUCACCUACCCACAACAGGGACCUAAGGACUGGUGGCUCCACUUGGGUCACCCAGCCACCUGCGACAGGGGCCCAGGGAUAACUGGUACCUCCCAGUUCUUACAACAAAACCUUUGGGUGCCCAUGGUCCCUCUGCAGAGCCCACCCACCAGCACACUCUAGGGAACAGAGAUGCGUUUUCCUCAGAGACACUUGGGGGUCAGUUCUCAGCCCACUGCCCUGUUCAGAGCGUGACCCCUGCUGCAAUCAGGUACGGGUAUACACGCCAAUCACCCCUGCCCCUCUAAGGCUGUAGGGCAGAGCCUGUACCACACACUUGAUAUCAACUACCUGGAAACCCGAGCUGAAUUCAUACAAGAAAACUGAAUGGACUCCUAAACUGAUAUAUCUGAUAACAGCUCUAGCCAGCUGGGGACAGGACACCACAGCUCGAAAGGCGAAAAUAAUCAAGCUAGCUCACUCAAGCAACCCAUAGGGGUAUACCAAAACAAAACAAAGCAAGCAGCUACGACACAGUAAGCAAGCAUAAACUAAUACAAUAACUUAUAGAUGGCUUGGAGACAACAGUCAAUAUCAAGUUACAUAAAGAAAUAGGCCAUGAUCACCACAACAGGCUUUCAAAACAAAGAAUUCAGGGAUCUUUUAGAUGAAAGUGCAUUCCUAGAAUUACCAGAUGCAGAAUACAAAAGUUUAAUAUACAGAACCCUUCAAGACAUGAGGAAGGAAAUGAGGCAAUAUGCAGAACAAGCCAAGGAACACACAGAUAAAGCAACUGAAGAACUCAGAAAGAUUAUUCAGGAACAUAAUGAAAGUUUAAUAAGCUGGGAAAAUCCAGAGACAGACAGCAAUCAGAAAUUCAGAAGAUUAACACUAAAAUUACAGAAUUAGGUAACUCAAUAGAAGGUCAGAGGAGCAGAAUUGAGCAAGUAGAAGCUAGAAUUUCUGAACUCAAAGAUAAAUCACUCAGCACUAAUAUAUUUGAAGAAAAAUCAGAUAAAAGAAUUUUAAAAAAUGAAGAAACCUUAAGAAUCAUGUGGGACUGUAUCAAGAGAAACAACCUAUGAGUGAUAGGAGUACCAGAACAGGGAGGGAUAACAGAAAAUACAGAGAAAAUUGUUGAGGAUUUGUUGGCAGAAAACUUCCCUGAUAUUGUGAAAGAUGAGAAGAUAUCUAUCCAAGAUGCUCAUCGAACUCCACAUAAGGUAAAUCUUAAAAGAAAGUCACCAAGACAUAUUAUAAUCAAGCUUACCAAAACCAAAGAUAAGGAGACAAUUAUAAGAGCAGCGAGGGAUAAAAGAAAAGUCACCUGCAAGUGAGAGCCAAUAAGAAUAAGCUCGGACUACUUGGCAGAAACCAUGUAGGCAAGAAGGCAAUAGGAUGACAUAUUUAAAAAAAUUGAAGGAAAAAAUUGCCUGCCAAGAAUCACAUAUCCAGUAAAACUGUCUCUUAAAUAUGAAGGUGAAAUUAAGACAUUUCCAGAUAAACACAAGUUGAGGGAAUUCAUAAAAACCAAACGAAAACUACAAGAAAUACUAAAGGGAGUUCUUUGGUUAGAAAAUCAGUAAUAUCAGCAUCGACCCAAGACUAGAACACUGGGCAGAGCAACCAGAAGUCAACCCAGACAGGGAAAUAAAAAAAAAAAACAACAACCAAAGCAAGAUUAAAAAAAAAAAAAAGCUCUACACAGGGUAACGGCAAUGUUAUUUAUAAAAGAAGACAACAUUAAAAUAAUAAACAGGGACUAAGAAAUGUAAUCAUACACCUUCCUUAUGGAGGGGAAGAUACGGCGAUACAAAGAAAUAAAAGUUAGUUAUAAAUUUAGAAAAAUAAGGAUAAAUAAUAAGGUAACCACAAAGGAGACAAACUAUCCUACUCAUCAAAAUAAAAUACAAGGGAAAAAUACAGACUCAGCAGAAACAAAAUCAACAACAACAAAUAUGAGGAAAGGAUACUGUGUAAAGAAAAUCUACUCGGCACAUAAAAUCAAGUGGGAAAAAGAAGCUGUCAACACACAAAAAAAGACAUCAAAAUGAUAGCACUAAAUUCCUACCUAUCUAUAAUUACCCUGAAUGUGAAUGGACUAAAUGCACCAAUAAAGAGACAGAGAGUGGCAGAAUGGAUUAAAAAACAAGAUCCGUCUAUACGCUGCCUACAAGAGACACGCCUUAGACUUAGAGACACAAACAAACUAAAACUCAAAGGAUGGAAAAAAAUAUAUCUGGCAAACAGCAAUCAAAAAAGAGCAGGAGUAGCAAUACUAAUUUCUGGCAAAUUAGACUUUAAAGUUAAAUCCAUCAUAAAGGAUAAGGAAGGACACUAUAUAAUGAUUAAAGGGACAAUACACCAAGAAGAUAUAACCAUAUUAAAUAUUUAUGCACCCAAUGACAGGGCUGCAAGAUACAUAAAAGAAAACUCUAUCAGCAUUGAAAAGUGAGAUAGACAGCUCCACAAUAAUAGUAGUAGGUUUCAACACACAACUUUCGGUGAAGGACGGGACAUCCAGAAAAAAGCUCAAUAAAGACAUGGAAGAUCUAAAUGCCACAAUCAACCAACUUGACCUCGUAGACAUAUACAGAACACUCCACCCAACAGCAACCAACUAUACUUUCUUUUCUAGUGCACAUGGAACAUUCUCUAGAAUAGACCACAUAUUAGGUCAUAAAGCAAGCCUUAGCAGAAUCCAAAACAUUGAAAUAUUACAAAGCAUGUUCUCUGACCUAAGGCCAUAAAAGUGGAAAUCAAUAACAAGAAAAGCAGGGAAAGGAAAUCAAACACUUGGAAACUGAACAAUAACCUGCUCAAAAAAGACUGGAUUAUAGAAGACAUUAAGGAUGGAAUAAAGAAAUUCAGAGAAUCCAAUGAGAAUGAAAACACUUCCUAUCAGAACCUUUGGUACACAGCAAAAGCAGUGCUCAGAGGCCAAUUUAUAUCAAUAAAUGCACACAUCCAAAAAGAAGAAAGGGCCAAAAUCAAAGAACUAUCCCUACAACUUGAACAAACAGAAAGAGACCAAUGAAAGAAACCCACAGGUGCCAGAAGAAAACAAAUAAUAAAAACUAGAGCUGAACUAAAUGAAAUAGAAAACAGAAAAACAAUUGAAAGAAUUAACAAGACCAAAAGCUGGUUUUUUGAAAAACUCAACAAAAUUGAUAAACCAUUGGCCAAACUGACAACAGAAAAACAGGAGAGGAAGCAAAUAACCUGAAUAAGAAAUGAGACAGGCGAUAUUACAACAGACCCAACUGAAAUUAAAAGAAUCAUAUCAGAUUACUAUGAAAAACUAUACUUAAACAAAUUUGAAAACCUAGAAGAAAUGGAUGAAUUCCUAGAAAUACACUACCUACCUAAACUAAUACAAACAGAGGUAGAACAACUAAAUAGACCCAUAACAAAAGAAGAGAUUGAAAGGGUAAUCAAAAAACUCCCAACAAAAAAAAAGCCCUGGUCCCGACGGCUUCACUGCAGAGCUCUAUUAAACUUUCAGAGAAGAGUUAACACCACUACUACUAAAGGUGUUUCAGAGCAUAGAAAAGGAUGGAAUACUACCAAAUUCAUUCUGUGAAGCCACCAUAUCCCGGAUACCCAAACCAGGUACCAAACACCACAAGAAAAGAAAAUUGUAGACCUAUAUCCCUCAUGAAUGUAGAUGCAAAAAUCCUCAACAAAAUUCUAGCCAAUAGAAUUCAACAACAUAUCAGAAAAAUAAUUCACCAUGACCAAGCGGGAUUCAUACCAGGUAUGCAGGGAUGAUUCAACAUUAGAAAAACAAUUAAUGUAAUCCACCACAUAAAUAAAACAAAAGACAAGAAUCACACGAUUUUAUCAAUUGAUGCAGAAAAGGCAUUUGACAAAGUUCAACACUCAUUCAUGAUAAAAACUCUCAGCAAAAUAGGAAUAGAAGAAAAAUCUCUCAACAUAAUAAAGGGCAUUUAUACAAAGCCAACAGCCAACAUCACCCUAAAUGGAAAGAGCCUGAAAACAUUCCCACUGAGAUCGGGAACCAGACAAGGAUGCCCUUUAUCACCACUCUUAUUCAACAUUGUGCUGGAAGUCCUGGCCAGAGCAAUUAGGCUAGGUAAAGAAAUAAAGGGCAUGCAGAUUGGCAAGCAAGAAGUAAAAGUAUUUCUAUUUGCAGUUGACUGUGCUCCUUGUAAACUCUAUGGGGCAGCUCUACUCUGUCCUAUAGGUUCGCUAGGAGUCGGAAUCGACUUGAUGGCACUGGGUACUGGGUAUGAUCUUAUACACAGAAAACCCUAAUGAAUCCUCCAGAAAACUACUGAAACUAAUAGAAGAGUUCAGCAGAGUAUUGGGAUACAAGAUAAAUGUACAAAAAUCAGUUGGAUUCCUUUACACCAACAAAAAGAACAUCGAAGAGGAAAUCACCAAAUCAAUGCCAUUUACAGUAGCCCCCAAGAAGAUAAAAUACUUAGGAAUAAAUCUUACCAGAGAUGUAAAAGACUUAGACAAGGAAAACUACAGUACACUUCAGCAAGAAACCAAAAGAGACUUACAUAAGUGGAAGAACAUACCUUGCUCAUGGAUAGGAAGACUUAACAUUAUAAAAAUGUCUGUUCUACCAAAAGCGAUCUAUACGUUUAACGCAAUUCCGAUCCAAAUUCCAACGACAUUCUUAAAUGAGAUGGAAAAACAAAUCACCAAUUUCAUAUGGAAGGGAAAGAGGCCGCGGAUAAAUAAGGCAUUACUGAAAAAGAAGAACAAAGUAGGAGGCCUUACUUUACCUGAUUUUAGAGCCUAUUAUACCUCCACAGUAGUCAAAACAGCCUGGUAUUGGCACAACAACAGAUACAUGGACCAAUGGAACAGAAUUGAGAAUCCAGACAUAAAUCCAUCCACAUAUGAGCAGCUGAUAUUUGACAAAGGCCCCAAAACAGUUAAAUGGGGAAAAGAUAGUCUUUUUAACAAAUGGUGCUGGCAUAACUGGAUAUCCAUCGACAAAAAAAUUAAACAAGACCCAUACCUCACUCCAUGCACAAAAACGAACUCAAAAUGGAUCAAAGACUGAAAUAUAAAAACUAAAAUGAUAAAGAUCAUGGAAGAAAAAAUACAGACAAUGUUAGGAGCCCUAAUAUAUGGCAUAAACAGUAUAGAAAACAUUAUAAAGAAUGUAGAAGAAAAACUAAAUAACUGGGAGCUCCUAAAAAUCAAACACUUAUGCUCAUCCAAACACUUCACCAAAAGAGUAAAAAGACUACCUACAGACUGGGAAAAAGCUUUUAGCUAUGACAUUUCUGAUUAGCUCCUGAUCUCUAAAAUCUACAUGGUACCACAAAAACUCAACUGCAAAAAGGCAAAUAACCCAAGUAAAAAACGGGCAAAAGAUAUGAAUAGAUACUUCACUAAGAAGACAUUCAGGUAGCUAACAGAUACAUGAGGAAAUGUUCAUGAUCAUUAGCCAUUAGAGAAACGCAGAUCAAAACUAAGAUGAGAUUAUCUCACUCCAACAAGGCUGGCAUUAAUCCAAAAAACACAAAAUAAUAAAUGUUGGAGAGGCUGUGGAGAGAUUGGAACACUUCUACACUGCUGGUGGGAAUGUCAAAUGGUACAACCACUUUGGAAAUCGAUUUGGUGCUUCCUUAAAAAGCCAGAAAUAGAACUACCAUACCAUCCAGCAAUCCCACUCCUUGGAAUAUAUCCUAGAGAAAUAAGAGCCUUUAUACGAACAGAUAUAUGCACACCCAUGUUUACUGUAGCACUGUUUACAAUAGCAAAAACACAGAAGCAAUUGAGGUGCCCAUCAACGGAUGAAUGGAUAAAUAAAUUAAGGCAUAUUCACACAAUGGAAUGCUGCGCAUCGAUAAAGAACCGUGAGGAAUCUGAGAAACAUUUCAUAACAUGGAGGAACCUGGAAGGCAUUAUGCUGAGUGAAAUUAGUCAGUUGCAAAAGGACAAAUAUUGCAUAAGACCACUAUUAUAAGAACUUGAGAAAUAGUUUAAACUGAGAAGAAAACAUUCUUUUGUGGUUACAAGAGGGGGGAGGGAGGGGAGGUGGGAGGGGGCAUUCACUAAUUAGAUAGUAGGUAAGAACUACUUUAGGUGAAGGGAUAGACAGCACACAGUACAGGGGAGGUCAGCACAAUUGGACUAAACCAAAAACAAAGAAGUUUCCUGAAUAAAUUGAAUGCUUCGAAGGCCAGCGUAGCAGGGGCAGAGGUCUGGGGACCAUGGUUUCAGGGGACAUCUAAGUCAACGGGCAUAAUAAAAUCUGUUAAGAAAACAUUCUGCAUCCCACUUUGAAGAGUUGUGUCUGGAGUCUUAAACGCUAGCAAGCAGCCAUCUAAGAUGCAUCAAUUGGUCUCAACCCACCUGGAUCAAAGGAGAAUGAAGAACACCAAGGACGCAAGGUGAUUACGAGCCCAAGAGACAGAAAAGGCCACAUGAACCAGCGACUACAUCAUCCUGAGACCAGAAGAACUAGAUGCUGCCCGGCUACAACUGAUGACUGCCCUGACAGGGAACACAACAGAGAACCCCUGAGGGAGCAGGAGAGCGGUGGGACGCAGACCCCAAACUCUCAUAAGACCAGAUUUAAUGGUCUGACUGAGACUGGAAGGACCCCAGCAGUCAUGCCCCCAGACCUCCUGUUGGCCCAGGACAGGAACCAUUCCUGAAGCCAACUCUUCAGACAUGGAUUGGACUGGACAAUGGGUUGGAGAGGGGUGCUGGUGAGGAGUGAGCUUCUUGGAUCAGGUGGACACUUGAGACUAUGUUGGCAUCUCCUGCCUGGAGAUGAGAGGGUGGAGGGGGUUAGAAGCUGGCAAAAAGGGCAUGAAAAGAGAGAGUGGAGGGAGAAAGCAGGCUGUCUCAUUAGGGGGAGAGUAAUUGGGAGUGUGUAUCAAGGUGUAUAUGGGUUUUUGUGUGAGAGACUGACUUGAUUUGUAAACUUUCACUUAAAGCACAAUAAAAAUUAUUAAAAAAAAAAAACAAACUGAUGGUACUGAAGUAAGAAGUCCCAGCUGCACUGGAGGCAUUGGCAAAAAACAAGGCUACAGGAAUUGAUGGAAUGCCAAUUGAGAGGUUUCAAGAAACUGAUGCAGUGCUGGAAGUACUCACUUGCCUAUGCCAAGAAAUUUGGAAGACAGCUACCUGGCCAACCACCUGGAAGAGAUCCAUAUUUGUACCCACUCCAAAAAAAGGUGGCCCAACAGAAUGCAGAAUUUUUGAACAGUAUCAUUAAUAUCACAAAAACAAGUAAAAUUUUGCUGAAAAUCAUCUAAAAGUGGUUGCAGCAGUAUAUUGCAGGGAACUUCCAGAAAUUCAAGCCACGUUCAGAAGAGGACAGGGAACAAAGACUAUCAUUGCUGAUGUCAAAUGGAUUAUGGCUGAAAGCAAAGAAUACCAGAAAGAUGUUUACCUGUGUUUUACUGACUAUGCAAAGGCAUUUGACCGUGUGGAUCAUAACAAAUUACACAUAAUGUUGAGAAGAAUGGAAAUUCCAGAGCACUUAAUUGUGCUCAUGGGGAACCUGUACUUAGACCAAGAGGCAGUUGUUUGAACAUAACAAGGAGAUACUGCAUGGCUUAAUGUCAGGAAAGGUGUGUGUCAGGGUUGUAUCCUUUCACAAUACUUACUCAGUCUGUAUGCUGAGCAAAUAACCCAAGGAGCUGAACUAUACGAAGAAGAAUGGAGAAUCAGGAUUGGAGGAAGGCCCAUUAAAAAGCUAUGAUAUGCAGAUGGCACAAUCUUGCUUGCUGAAAUUGGAGAGAACUUGAAGCACUUACUGAUGGAGAUCAAAGACUACAGCCUUCAGCAUGGAUUAUACUUCAACAUAAAGAAAACAAAAAUCCUCAAAACUGGACCAAUAAGCAACAUCAUGAUAAAUGGAGAAAAGAUUGAUGUUGUCAAGUAUUUCACUGCUUGGAUCCAUAAUCAACGCCCAUGGAAGGAGCAGUCAAGGAAUCAAAAGACACAUUGCAUUGGAUAAAUCUGCUCAAAAGACCUCUUUAAAGUGUUAAAAAGCAAAGAUGUCACUUUAAGGACUAAGCUGGACCUGACCCAAGCCAUGAUGUUUUCAAUCACCUCAUACACAUGUGAAAGCUGAACAAUGAAAAAGGGGCACUGAAGAAGAGUUGAUGCCUUUGAAUUAUGGUGUUGGCGAAGAACACUGAAUAUACCAGGAACUGCCAAAGAACAAACCUGUCUUGGAAAAAGUACAGCCAGAAUGCUCAUUAGAAGUGAGAAUGGUAAGACUUCAUCUCACAUACUUUGGACAUGUUAUCAGGAGGGACUAGUCAUUGCAGAAGGAUAUCAUACUUGGUAGAGGGUUAGCAAAAAAGAGGAAGGCCCUCAACCAUAUGGAUUGACACAGUGGCUGCAACAAUGGGCUCAACGUAGCAACAAUUGUGAAGAUGGCGCAGUGCCUGGCAGUGUUUUGUUCUGUCAUGUGUGGGGCUGCUAUGAGUCGGAACUGGCUCCAAGGUCGAGAAUGCCAUCUGGCCACUUUGGGCUUCUCAUGACCCUGGAUCAACAGGCAAAGAAAGGUGUUACCAUAUUAACUUGUGUGAUUGACCCUGACUACCAAAGGAAAUUAGACUGAUGAUGCAUAAUGGAGGUAAAAACAAGUGUGUCUGAAAUAUAGGAAAUCCUUUAAGAUGUCUUGUAGUACUACCAUGCCCUGUGAUUAAAGUCGAUGGAAAACUAUAGCAACCCAGUUGUGACACGACAACUAAUGGCCCAGAUCCUUCAGAAAUGAAGGUUUGGAUCAUCCCACCAGGCAAAUAACCACGACCAGUUGAAGUGCUUUCUGAGGGUAAAGGAAAUAUGGAAUGGGUGGUGGAAGAAGGUAGUUCUAAAUGCCAGCUAUGACCACAUGAACAGUUGCAGGAAUGAGGACUGUAAUCAUUAGGGGUAUUUCUCCCUUGUAUGUGUGUAUCAAAUAUUUUUGUUUUCUUCAGUUACAAAAUAUGUAAAUAGGGCUAGUGCUAUUUCAGUUGUAUGCAUGUUAAUUGUAUUGUGUUAGGUACAAGUAUGACUGUAAUUUUCUUUAUUUAGAGACAGUGUAUGGUUUAAGUAAGUAUGUAAAGAUGCCAAGUUGACAAGGGGUGGACUUUGAUGGUUAAGGUUGUGUGUCAACUUGGCUGGGCUAUGAUUCCCAGUGGUUUGGCAGUUAUGUAAUCAUGUAGUUUGGCUGUUGUGUAAUGAUAUGAUUUGGCAGUUAUGUAAUGAUGUAGUCCUCCUCCAUGAUGUGAUCUGAUAUGAUCAGCCAAUCAGUUGUGAGGGGAAUUUCCUUGGGGAUGUGGCCUACAUCCAGUAAAUAUAUGGAUAUCUGGCAAAGCUCACUUGCUUGCUCUGGAUCCUGCAUCCAGCUCAUCAUCAUCUGACCUGUUCUUGGGACCUGAGACUGAUGAUCUCGGGAUUCAUCAGGCUCUGCAGGCUGUGAGCCAGCAGCCUACUGUCUGACCUGCUGAUCUUGCAUUUGUCAAACUCUGUAGCCUGUGAGCCAGUGUCAUGACAUCUGACCUGCCAAUUUUGUGUUCAUUAGGCUGUGAAGCUACGUGAGUCAGGAGAAAACUGUAGCUUGACGCAUGACCCAUAAACCUGGGACUUGCCAGCCUCUGUACCUACAUGAACCAUUUCCUUGAGAUCAGUCUCUUCUUUCUCUCUACCUAUUUACACUUUGCUGGUUUGCUUCUCCAGAGAACUCAGCCUAACACAGGUAACUACUCUUCUCCUGAUUUUACGUCUCCACUUCCACACUGGCCUCCUACACUCCGUUCCCCAGUAUUCUGAAAAUGUGAAUUAGUUCAUGUUGUCCCCUGCUUAAACACCUCCAGUGGCUUUCAGUUUUACAUCAAUAAAAUAUGAGCUCUUCCCUGAGGCCUAUUUCUCCAAUUUCAUGAUAUGCUAUUCCCCCUUUUUUCAUUUUAAUAUUGCCAAACUUUUGACUUCUGAACAGGCCAACUUAUUCUUCUCCUCAGGGCCUUUGCAUAUGCUGUUUCUUCUGCCUGGAAUGCUCUUCCCUUAUGUGUUAAUAUUCAGAUCUCAGGUCAAAUGUCACCUCCUCAGAGAAGUCUUCUUUGUUCACCUGCCUAGAGUAGCCCUUUUCACUCAUACUUGAGCUCAUUACUCUGUUUUAUUUCUUUUACUGCACUUUAAGAGCUUGGUUGCUAACCAAAAGGUCGGCAGUUCAAGUCCACUGGCAAUUCCUUGGAAACCUUAUGGGGAAGUUCUAUUUCGUCCUAUAGGAUUGCUAUAAGUAGGAACUGACUCAACGACAAUGAGUUUGGUUUUUGGUAUCCCUAAUUGUUGUUAGCUGCCAUGGAAUUGACCCCUGACUCCUGAAGACCCCAUGCACAGUGGAAUGAAACACUGCCUGGUCCUGCACCAUCCCCAUGAUCAGUUUUGAAUUAGGGUUUUGAGCCAUAGGGUUUUCAUUGGUUGAUGUUUGAAAGUGGAUCACCAUGCCUUUCUUCCUAGUUUGUCUUAGUCUGGAAGCUCUGCUGAAACCUGUUCAGCAUCAUAACAACAUGCAAACCUCCACUGACAGAUGGCUGGUGGCUGUGCAUGAAGUAUAUUGGCUGGGAAUUGAACCCAACUGUCUUGCAUGGAAGAUGAGAAUUCUACCACUGAACCACCACUGCCUUCUAGCCAUAAUGACCUUAUUUACUUAUUUGUUUACUAGUUUCUCCUCUGUCUCUUCAGUUAGAAAGUUCCACCACAAGUGCAGGGACUUUCUGCCUUAUCCCCCUCUGCAUUCUCUAAUCCUUGAAGCCUGCCACACUUACCUUCAAGGCUCCAAUCACACCACAGAACCACUGUGGUAAGGGCCUGUGGCCUCCGCUAGUGAGUAUCAGACACUGCAACUUGCACCAGAGUCACUCCUGCUACUGGAACUGGUUGAGUAGUCACCACUGAAAUGAGUUUUCCACUAUAUUGACUAAGAUGAGCUCACAUGCCAGUGGCAUCACUGUGGCGAGGCCAAUGAUCUCUGCCUCCCACUUAGGCACAUAUGAUAGGGAAAUGGAUCACCCCAGAAAGUUCCCUCAAGCUCUUUAUCAGACAACACUCCCCCCAUUCCAGAUGCAAUACUAUCCUGAUCACAUCGCCUGCUUUCUAUGGCUUCUAUCACUGAUUUCUAAUUUGAAUAGCUGAACUUUUGGUUAGGAGCUGAGCUCUUAACCACUGUGCCACCAGGGCUCCAAUUUCUAACUACUUUUAUCAGUUAUAGAGCUUUAUAUAAAUGCAAUCAUACCGUACACACUUUUUGUGUGUGUCUGGCUUCUCUCACUCAACAUGUUUUUGAGAUUCAUCCACGUUGUUGGAUUUAGGUGUGAUUGCUCUUCCUCAUGUUUAUCUCACAUACAAAACAUCUGAAAAAUUCAUCAUGAAUUGACUCUUUGUUUAAAUAUAAAGCAAUGCUAAAUAUCACUUGGAGGCCGAUUACAUCUUUUAAACAGGUCCUAGAGGCUAAAGGUAAUGUUGAUUAUUCUGAGAAAACUGAUUUACUCCAUGGUGGGUUUUAAAGAAUCAGCUCAAAAUAAUCUUAAUGUAAUAGCACAGAAAUAAGGAAGAAAUAAUAGAUCAUGCUUCUUUUUGCUCUGGUUUAGCACUCAGUGUUCCCUUUCCUUAAUUCUUUUGAGAAGAAUAUGAUGCCCUGCUUGGGCUUUAGAUCCAAUCCAUGCAUUUAUCCAACAAGUAUUUACUCCGUACUGGUGCUAGACUUCGUGUCAGUGAGUGAGGCUGAGUCCCUUCCUUCCAGGAGCUUACGUGCCCGUGGGGGAGAUGGACAAUAAACCCAUUCACGCAGCAUCUCAGGGAGUGAGAGUUGGAGUGAGAGAGCUGGGUACGAGGGUAGAGCCAGGUGGGUUGGGGAAGCUAUUUUAGACAGGCUGUUCUGGAGGGCUUGAUCCUCUGCAGAGGUGACAUUUGAGAAGAGGCCUGGAUGAAGGAAGGAAGUAAGCCAAGGAGAAAUCUGAGAUCAUUUCAGGCAAAGAGAAGAGCAAGAGAAAUUGCCUCAGACUUGUCCUAAAGGCAGAGGUUGCAAAGGAAACUUCCAGUUGACUUGCCAGUUUCUGGUAAGAAUGUUGAUCAGACUAAGACCCAGGGAAGCUGAGGGUAAACGAAGUCAGCCCUCCAGCUAGCACAUACAGUCUGUUUCCAUAUUGCACGUGUGGAAACCUAGAUUCAGAGGUGAAGUAUCGUGCUUAAAGUUACAGACAUAGUAAGUGGCAGAGCCUAUGUAUUUUUUCAGAAAAAGCUUAACACUUGAGUUUGUGAUACCAAAAAAAAAAAAAGAACUCGUUGAGGUUAAGUCAAUUCCAACUCAUAGUGACCCUAUAGGACAAAGUAGAAGUGUCCCAUGGGGUUUCUGGUGGAUUAGAACUGCUGACCUUUUGGUUAGCAGCCAUAGCUCUUAACCACUAUGCCAUCAGGAUUUGAGUCUGUGAUAAGGAAAACUAUAAUUCAAGUUUAGCUGGCAGAGGAACUAUAUCUUCAAAAAGGUGACAAGGGCAUGUAUUUGAAGAGGUACAAGUAGAAAAGGAGUUUUCAUGUAGAAAGUUCUAAUUAUCCCAAUAGUAUCUUUCAGUAGGCUUCAUCAAGGGGUAAUUUAUAUAAAUAAAAUGCAUAGUCACAGUAAGUAUACAGUUCAUUCAGUUUUGACAAUGUAUACACACCUGUGUAUCCACAGCUAUAAUCAAGAUACAGAAUAUUUUCAUUGCCCUAAAAAAUUUCCCUUGUGCCCCUUUGCAAUCAAUCCUUAACCCCCUUGACAAUCACUGAUCUGCUUUCCGCAACUAUAAAUUAGUUCAGCCUUUUCUAGAGUUUCAAAUAAAUGGAAUCAUAAGGCAUAAAUCUUCUCAGUCCAGCUUCUUUUGCUCAGCACCAUGACCAUGAGGUCCAUUCAUGUUGUGGCAUGUAUCUAUACUUCACUCCGUUUUACUGUUGAGUAGCAUUCCACUGUAUGAGCAUCUCAUGGUUUGUUUAGGAGGCAAGAAGUGCUGAAACACAGGCCACACUGGAAGGAGUUUUUGAUCAGGAGGCCUUUGGGUACUGGUACUGUUGUUUCUGGAGCCCUGGUGGUGCAGUGGUUAAGAGCUACAGCUGCUAACCAGAGGGUUGGCAGUUCGAAUCUACCAGCUGCUCUUUAGACACCCCAGGGGUGGUACUACUGUGUCCUAUAGGGUGGCUAUGAGUCAGAAUCGACUUGAUAGCAAUGGGGUUGUUUGGAUUUUACUGUUGUUUCUGGGAUGUAUUGAUGAUAGAUUUGGAGAUGUGUGGUCUAACUGGUGGGCUGGGGGUGGUUCUGCCCAGAGGCUCCUCCGGGUGGAAGUGGCCUCUGAACCUUGUCUCUUUUUCAAUCCAGUGACCUCUCUAGAUCGCCUUGUCUUAACUUCCUGCUUUGUCAGCAACUCUAUGGGCUUUUUUUUUUUUCCAAUUCAACCUUGACAAUGACUCCACGAGGGGAGUGUUACAGUUAUAGAGGAGGACACAGAGGCUUUGGGAGGGGGUGAGUUUGCUCCGAGCUAGUCAGCCUUAUGUUGCAGGGCUGGCGUUCCCGGGUGGUGCAAAUGGCUUGCACUUGACUACUAACCUAAACGUUGGUAGUUUGAACCCCACCCCCAGCAGUGCUGCAGAAGAAAGACAAGGUGAUCUGCUUCCAUAAAGAUUACAUCCAAGAAAACCCUACGGCGCAGAUCUACUCUGUAACAUAUGCGGUUGCCAUGAGUCAGAACUGACUUGACAGCAACAGGGAUUUUGUGUGCGUGUGUGUGUGUGUGUGUGUGGCAUGCCAAGACUUGGGUCCAGUUUCUUCCUUUCCCUCUGUUACUUUAUCACACUUCUCUGCAACAUCCCCACCUGCAUGGCAAAGAGUCUGGAAUGUGACUGGGCUCUGCUCACGAGCCAGUCCUUGAGGUUCUUGCUGUUGUAUAGUGUGGGAAACCACUUGAGGAAAACUGCUUUGGAUUUGCUAUUGGUGGAUGUGUAGGGAAGAGGAACUCAUACACGUUCUUUGAUUUACAUCAAAGACUGAAAAGGGAUGCUUUCUAAUGGGUUUGAAUAAAAAAAUCUCAUGAACAGAUCUUCUGUGUUAUAGCUAAGGCACUCAAAAUUUUCAGCACUAUUACUUUUCUUUGUUUAAAGAUGCUGAUGGUUAACUUACAUAGAAACCAAACCAAACUCACUGCUGUCAAGUCAAUUCUGACUCAUAGUGACCCUAUGGGACAGAGUAGAACUGUUCUGUAGGGUUUCUAGAUCUUUAUGGAAGCGGGUUGCCACAUCUUUCUCCAGUGGAGCAGCUGGUGGAUUUGAACCACUGACCUUUCAGUUGGCAGCCAAGAGCUUUAACUACUGCACCGUCAUAAAUUAUGGCUCUUUCAAGGCAAUUUCUAGCAGACCUGAAAAUAUCUAGACUCUUCAUGACCAAAACACUGCCUUUCAGGUGUAUAUUUGAUUUUUUGGAUAUUUUUACAUUGGGUGACCUUCAGUUGUAAUUGAUGUGAGGGCAAUGGCUUUGAUUUUUUUUUGCAUGCUGCAAAGAGCAGACUGUAUUUGAUUCACUUGGAGGAAAAUGCCACACAGAAGUGUGGCCAAGCUUGGAGAGCAUAUUGGGGUCUAAAGCCUGUCUCUCUGUUGAUGGUGCAUAUGUGUCGUUACUGCCCAGUGUACUAUAUACAGUACCUUAACACUCAGAGUUCUUCGUUGCAUACAGCAGAAUCCCCUCCUCCUACUUUAAACAGAAAGGGAUUUGCUAAAGGAUUUUAGAUAGUUUGCAGAAUCUCCUGGGUGUUUUGAGAACCAGGCUUGGGAGCGUAUUGUCAGGAACACAGUAGGGAGAAAUAGCCAGUCAUAUCAAGGCCUCUUCUAGCAAAAACACUUUUGCUGUUGCCACCUGCUGCUCAGCAGCUGUAGUGCUGGGAACCAAAUGUCUCCUUUGGAGAGCCUGCCAGAUCAUCUACUCACCCGCUGGCAGCCUCACCCCCCAUUGCUUGCUGCCUCAUCUAGGCCUCUUAUCAGACAGGCUGAAACCAGGUUGCCCACCUGUACCUUAGCUACAGGGAAUUCUGGGAAAUAUGGUUUUUAACUUUUCAUCCCUGACAGAACAGAGAGGCAAAUUAGGAGGGACUUGGAAUUGGAAUUGGUGCCGAGUGAACCAGCUUUCAGAAUCUGCAACAAGUACUAACCUGAAAUUUGGCAGUGACCAUGCCAUUCAAGGAAACCCUGUUGGCGUAGUAGUUAAGUGCUACAGCUGCUAACCAAAAGGUUGGCAGUUUGAUUCCUUCCACCAGGCACUCCUUGGAAACUCUAUAGGGCAGUUCUACUCUGUCCUAUAGGGUCGCUAUGAGUUGGAAUUGACUCGAUGGCAAUGGGUUUGCUUUUGGGUUUAUACCAUUCAAGCAUCAGAGCCAGAGUCUAUGUUUUUUCGUUCAAGGCAAAGUUUUGAAGUAGGAUUUUAGAGCCUCAGUUUCAUAAUUUGUAAAACAUGUCAAAAAAAUCCGGUUUUAGAGGUGUGCUCCUUGGGUCCUCCUUCAUGAAAGAACUUGUAGUUUCAGUGCAAAGAGUUCAGUUAGCUCACAGCCUUUACUUUCCAACAGAGGACUUUCUGGGUGGCCCACAGCCGGUGACCAAGCAUAGUGGGAAUACUAGGGCCUGUCUAUUUCUGUCCAAAGUGGUACUGUUGUGAUUGGAAAUCUUUGCUCCGGAACACCCUGUUGGGUGAAUCAGCAAAACUUUGUCAAAUCUGCAUCACAGGCCUUUCGCUGUUCAAUUCUGCUUCCUCCCCUUUCUACCCCCAAUAAACCUCUUGUAUUCCUAACUUCAUGUCAGUGUCUGCUUCCCAGGGGACCCAACUGACACAUAGGGCUUUUGAGAAGAUGAAAGAGGUAUCGAUCCAUGAAAGCAUUGAACAGAGUGCUUGAUAUACAAUUUCAAUGGUUUCUUCUUUGAUUCCUCCCCUUCCAUUUUAAUUUAUGUCUAAUUCAAUAGCAAAUUCUGUCAUUUCCACCUUCAAAAACAAAUUUUGAAUUAAUCUGUAUUAACCACUCCCAAUACUAUCACCCCAGUACAAGGCUACAUUGCUUUCUUAGUCUCCUAGUACUGCCAUAACGGAAAUGCCACAAGUGGGAUGGGUUAUAUUUCACACUGAUUUAACCCAAGUGGAUUUUAGUCACCUCUGGUUCUGCCACUAUAUCUUAUAUUCUGUAGGUAAUGUGCUGAAUCUGGCUUUUAAAAAAUGACGUCUGUUGAUAUAUUGACUGCUUUGUUUCAAAUUAUGAAUUUGUUUUUCAUGCUUUUAUUUUUUAAAAAAUGAAGUUUUUUUUUUUUUUUUUUGAAUAACCGUUAUGAAUCCUAGCCCCAAACUGAUGAAUAUGAUUUGGAGAUUUAUCCCUGAUUCUCACAGUUUUAGAGGCUAAAACUCCAAAUCAGUGUUAAUUUCUCACUUGUCUGUCGCCCCAGGAGAUGCUGGAUCCUUGGUUCCUUGGCUUAUAGACAUCCUCACAUAGCAUCUGUCUUCCCCCUCGUGUAUGCUUAUUUAUUCUGGUCUUUGUGUAGCUCAGAAGUGAUUAGGUUUAGGACCCACUCUGCUGGUAAGACCUCAUUAAAGUAACAAAAAACCCUAUUUACAAAUAGGGUCAAAUUUAUAGGUACUCCGUUGAAAACCCGUUGCCAUCAAGUCAAUUCCAACUCAUAAUGACCCUACAGGACAGAGUAAAACUGCCCCCACAGAGUUUCCAAGAGGUGCCUGGUGGAUUCAAACUGCAGAUCUUUUGGUUGGCAGCCAUAACUCUUAACCUUUGAGCCACUAGGGUUUCUGAUUUAUAGGUAGAGGGGUUAGGAUUUCAAUAUAUAUUUUGGAGUGACACAAUUCAAUCCAUAGUAACUGUCUCUGGCCUGGACCCUCACUAGCCUCCCAGUUAGUCUUUCUACUUCCUUUCUUGCCUCACUACACAGAAGUCAGGGAGAUCUUUUAAAUGCUUAAAUCUGAUCACUUCAUCCCACUGCUUGGAAUCCUUCAAUGGCUUAUCACACAUGGAGUAAAAUCCAAACUCCACUGUGACUCUCAAGGUACUUAUGCUCAGGCCCAGACACAGCUGCAGCUUCAUCUCUUGCUACUCCUAGCAGCUCCAGCCACCCUGGGGCUCAUUACCUUAAAUGAUAAGCUCUUUCCCACCUUGGGGCAGGUGCACUGGCUGUUUUGCACUGUCUGGAAAGGUCUCUUGCCCUGCUUUUCUCUUAGCUGGAACCUCCUCUUCGUUCAAGCCUCAGCUCAACGUCACUUCUUUGAAGAGGUCUUCGCUAACCACCCUGCGUUAAGAAGGUAUAUCUGUCAGGAUUGGCUGCAUUAUGGUGCACUAACGAAUGGCUCCAAGAUCACAGCGGCUUACAACAUGUCCAUCAAGAGUCAGCUGCCACUCUGUUCCAUGACAGCUUCACUCUGGGACACAGGCUAAUGGAUAGCCUCUACCUGGGACACUGCUGGACUUACGGCAGAGAGGACAGAUGGUGAACCACCAAUUCCUCUUUAGGUUUCUGCCUGCAGCAAUACACAUCACUUCCAGCCAUAUUUUAUUGCCACUUGGACACUCCUGAUAUCGACUGGGUGGAGACGUAUAAUGUUCCCAUAAGGUGCGGCACCUCAAAUUCCACGCCAAGCCUGAAACUGAUGAGCUGGGGAAGUACAGUAUUCUCCCAGGGUGGUGCUGCACAUAGUAUUUUGAACAACAAUACAAUCUACCUUAAAGAUCAUUCCCAUUCUGUAUUCUCUCUCAGUUCCUCUUGUUGGCUUUCUUCCAUACCAACACAUUGCUGCUGAGUCUGACUCAGAGCGACCCUAUAGGACAGAACAGAAUUGCCCCCAUAGGGUUUCCAAGGCCAUAAUUUUUAUGGAAGCAGACUACUACAUCUUUCUCCCUAGGAGCGGUUGGUGGGUUCCAACUGCCGAUCUUUCAGAUAGCAGUCUAGUGCUUAACUACUGUACUAUCAGGGGUCCUCCUUUCUUACAUAAACCAAAGCCAAACCAAAUCAAUUGCCAUCAAGUUGAUUCUGACUCAUAGCGACCCUAUAGGACAGAGUAGGACUGCCCCCAUAAGGUUUCCAAGGAGUGGCUGGUGGAUUCAAACUGCCACCUUUUGGUUUGCAGCCUGAGCUCUUAACCACUGUGCCACCAAGGCUCCCUUUCUUAUAUAACUCAGAGAGACCCUACAGGAUAGAGUAGAACUGCCCCACAGAGUAUCUGAGGAGCACCUGGGGGAUUUGAACUGCCGACCUUUUUAGUUAGCAACUGUAGCACUUAACCACUAUUCUACCAGGGCUUCCCUUUCUUAUAUAACAAAACCCAUUGCCUUCGACUCGAUGGCAGUGGGUUUCUUUCUUAUAUAGUACUUACUAAAUCUGUUGCCAUCUAGUUGACUCCAACUCAUAGUGACUGCACAGGACAGAGUAGAGCUGCCCUACAGGGUUUCCAAACCCUGGUGGCACAAAGGUUAAAGCCCUAGGCUGCUAACUGGAAGGUUGACGGUUCAAACUCAUCAGCUGCUCUGCGGGUGAAAGAUGUAGUAGACUGCCCUUGUAAAGAUUACAGCCUUGGAAAACCCAUGGGGGCAGUUCUACUCCGUCCUAUAGUUAUUUACAGUUUGCAAUUAUAAGUGCUAUAGGGUCGCUAGAGGGUAGGCAGCAAGUUUGGUUUAAUCUUUAUGGAAGCAGACUACCACACCUUUCUUCCACUGAAUGGCUGGUUGGUUCAAACUGCUGACCUUUCAGUUAGCAGCGGAGUGCUCUCAACCACUGUGCCACCAGGACUCCUAUAAAACCAAAAAACCAAACCCAUUGCCAUCGAGUUAAUUCUGACUCAUAGUGACCCUAUAGUACUUGUUAUAAUUGGAAAUUGUAAAUUAACUCACAUUUAUUUAAAAACUAUGUGCACACGUGUGUGUGGGUGUGUGUACGUACGUGUACAUAUAAGUGUGUAUAUUGUGUACAUGUGUGUAUGUGAGCCCGCGUAUUUGUGUGUGCUUAUAUGUAUAUAUAUAUGUAUAUAUAUAUAUGGAUACGUAUGUGUAUAUGUGUGUCGGGGUGUGGGUACAUGUGUGUAUAUAUGUGUGUGCACAUAUAACAGAAGCCUUGCCUAUGGUAGGUUUUUGAUAAAUUGUUACAAAAUGAAUGAAUAAAUAAACUUGAAACAUGAAAAGGGCCCAGGUUUUGCAAUCAGACAGAAUUAGGUGUGAAACCUAGCCCUGCCUCUUAAUAUAUGUGAUCUUGGGCAAGUUAACAAAUAUCACUGACUCUUUAAAUUUAAAACAAGGAUGAUAAAACUUUAUCAGAGUUGGCCCAUAGAUGGCACUAAAAAAACAUUAGUCUUCUUCCCACUUUUAUCAUUUUGUGUCCUUGUUUCAUUUAGCACAUAUGAGCAUGAACAUGACAUUUAUUAUAUUGCAGCAAAUACGAAGCGAGAUUUUUCUUUUGGCUUUUAUUCAGAAACCCCAUUCGUUUGGGAUUGGUUAUAUUUCACAGUGAUUUACCCAAGUGGAUUUCGGUGACCUCUGGCUCUGCCACUAUGUCUUGUAUUCUCUAAUUAACGUGUUGAAUCUGGCUUAAAAAAAAUGACAUCUGUUGAUAUACUGACUGCUUUGUUUCAAUUUAUGAAUUUGUUUUUCAUGUCCUUAAGUAGAAAGAAAAAUGGUUUUUUUUUCUUUUUUUAAUAACCAUAAUGAAUCUUAGCCCCAAAUUAAUGAAUGUGAUUUGAAGAGUUAUCCCUGGUUCUUCCUGUGUUUGAUACAAUAGUAACCUCUUGUCUUAGGCUAGAUUCUCUAGGGGAACAGAACCAAUGAGACAUAUAUAUACAUAUACUUACAAAAAAAAAAUUUUUUUUUUUUACAUAUACAUAUAUACAGAUAGAGAGAGAGAGAAAGAAAGAGAGAGAUUUAUCUCAAGGAAAUGGUUCAUGCAGUUGUGAAGGCUAGCAAGUCCCAAAUCCAUAGGUCAGGCAUCAGGCUGGAGGCUUCUCCUGACUCACAUCGUUGCACAGGCUGACGAACCCAAAAGUGGCAGAUUAGGCAGAAAGCUGCUGGCUCAUGGGGUUACGGGAGCUGGCAAAUCCCAACAUCUGCAGGUCAGGCAGCAGAUUGCUGGCUCACAUCCUGAGAAUUGGAGAUCAGAGGAGGAUGAAUCAGAAUCAGGACCCAAAGAGAGCUUUGCCAGAAUAUCCAUAUACACUGGAUGCAGGCAACACCCCCUCCCCACAAGGAAACUGAUUGGCUUUCAACUGAUUGCACUUUGACUGACAGACCUUUUAACUUGUUGGCUGCUCACAUCAGAUCACCAAAUGGAGAAUGAUUAUGUAAUAUCUGCCUAGACACUGAGAGUCAUGGCCUGGCCAAGUUGACACCUAACCUUAACCAUUACACCUCUUACAUACAGACUAUCAGCCAUCCUCCAUCCAAUAUGUAGAGAUUAUGGUCUUUGGAGAUUUCUGGCAAAAUUUUUGGAUCCACAGUCUUAUUUCAUUAUACGACUUUGGAUAAAUCACUUCCCCUUCCUGAGCCUCUACUCUUGGGUAAAAUGAAGAUUCAAACCAAACAAGUUGCAGCUGAGUCAAUUCUGACUCAUGGCAGUCCCACAUACAUCAGAGUAGAACUGUGCUCCACAGUGUUCUCAGAGGUUGAUUUUUUUUGGAAGUAGAUCUUCAGGCUUUUCUUCAUAGGUAUCUUUGGGUAGACUAGAAGUGCCAACCUUUUGGUUAGCAGGUGAGUGCUUAACCAAUUACAUCUGUAUCAUUUCCUCAUCCAGACAGGAUGGGUACAGGCUCCUAUGUCAUGCCCAAGAAUCAGAAUUGGUGCAGGUUAAUGGAUUUUACUGGCCCAUGGGCUGUGGUUCACGUUACCCAGGGGGCUAGAGGAGAGAAAAAAUACUGAAGAGAACCAAAAACAAAAACAUGAGUGCACCAUCAAAGGAAUCCUUGGUCUGAAGGGUCUAUAUGGAUGGGGUGACUCACUGAGUGUGUUAACCAUUGGCGCCACUCAACUGCCCCAUAUGGUUUCCAAGGAGCAGCUGGUAGAUUUGAACUGCCAAACUUUUGCUUAGAAGCCAAGCUCUUAACCACUGUGCAACCAGGGCUCCAAGUGGAUAUUAAUGGAGCCAAACUUCAAAACUAGAUCUGCCCUAUUCAAUGCUCCUUCCAGUGCAGCUCCAUACUACUUUCUCACAGAAUUAGGACACAAGAAGCUGGGGGAGGGGGGUGUGAAGAGUAAACAAUGAUUACAUUGUAAGGAGGGAAAGUGAUUUAGCCAAUGGCAGAGGUGGGCUGGGGGAAGAGGCCUUGGCUCAUGAAUCCCUUUGAGAUUUGAAGGAUACUCUCUGGGGUUCUCUAAUCAUAUGUUGCCUCAUGGGCCCAAAAGGCAACUUAGCAGCUUUUGUUUCUCCACAGAGCAAUGAUUUCCAGGCUCCAGAGCCUAUUUCAGCAUUUCCUCUGUAAACAUCCUUAACUGGGCUUCAUGCUUUCUGCAGCUGGCCUAAGGAAGACUCCCUAAAGUGAAAAAUAAAUUCUAUAGUACAUAGCACAAACAAUUUUUGUGAAUUAGCCUGUCUUUUCUCUUAGUUUAGGGUGUGAUUUUGCUAUCAAGUGCACGUAAACUUUUGAGUUCAUGAGACAAUGUAUGAUUGAGUGCAAAAAAAAAAAAAAAAAAAAAAAAAAAGAAGAAGAAAACCAGUAUAGCUGAACCAAUCUCUAUUUCCAACCCCAAUUUCCCUUGCCUGCCUAGAUUUCUUUUUAGAUUAAAAAAAAAAAAUUGUUGUUGUUGAGAAUAUACACAGGAAAACAUACACCAAUCGAACAAUUUCUGCAUGUAUAAUUCAGUGACAUUCUUACCCUCCUUUUCUGAGUUGCUCCUCCUCCAUUAACAUAAACUCACUGCUUCCUGUUUCUUCUUAGAUUUUAAAUCUAAAAGCCAAGAUCUCUACUUCUGGAUAUGGAAUAACAGGAACUGGAAUUUGUCUUCCACGAAACAGCGUAUAAUAUUAAAAAAAAAAAUGAAACAAAAGGCUUUGAAGUCACUAAAUGACAAGCAUGAAAGCCAAUGAUCCCUGAGAGAUGGGAAACAAAUGAGGCAAGUCCUACAAUUGUCCCAUCUUACUGCUCAAGAGAGUUUCUAGGCCAUGCUGCAGAGAAGGGAACAUAGGUGAAGUCUGGAGAACUCUGAAUAGAGGAGAUAGAUCUGAGAAUUCAGGGAGACCAAAGCAGCUAGAGCAUUUGGAAGAGUCCUGGAGAGGAAAAAGUUGCACAGAGAUCUCUAGAGAUUUGCAGAGAGUCCCUUUUGAGUACUCAGCAGAGAACUGAUCAGUACUUCCAUGUGAGGAAAUUAGUUGAAGCCAGGGAAAAAAACUCCCAAAAGGUUUAGAGGGAAGAGUAACUGGUGCUCAUGCAGAGCCAGGAAUAGCGCUUGUUGCCACCAGCCAGACUGGAAAACCUCAUAAUUUAUGGGACAUUGGGUAGAGUACCUAGGCAAUCCUUGCCUCAGCAGUGGAAAAUAAUUAGCUCCAGACUGAAGACUAUUAUAGUUUUACCUAAUAAAUCUUAAAUGAAAGACCUGAAAGGAUCAAACUGUUUUCAAGUAACUUAACUGUGUUCCAGAAAAAAACUCAAGGAUAUUUGUAGGAAUAUAAAAAGAUCCAGGACCCAACAAAGUAAAUUUCUCAAUAUGUGGCAUCCAAUAAAAAAUUAUCAGGCAUACAAAUAAAAUAUGGCCUAUAAUGAAGAGAAAAAUCAAUGAAUUGAACUGACUUGACACAGAGGUUAGAAUUAACACAGAAGGACAUUGAACCAGUUAUGAAAACUAUAUUCUAUACAUUUAGAAAGUUUACAGACAUAGAAGAUGUAAAACAGACACAAAUUGAACUUCCAGGGGUGAAAACUACAAUGUGUGAGAUGAAAGAUAUGCUGGAAGGGAUUAGCAACAGAUUAAACACCACAGAAGAAAAACAUUAGUGAACUUGAAGAUACAGCCAUAGAAACCAUCCAAAAUGAAACAGGGAGAAAAGAAAGCUUUUCCAAAUGUGUUGAAAAGUAUAAACUCACAGAUCCAAGACACUCAACAAAUCUCAAGCAUGGCAAGGGUUUGAAGAAAACCAUAUCAAAGUACAUCUUGAUUGAAUUACUCAAAACCAGUAAUAAAGAAAAAAACUCAAAGGCAACAGAGAAAAAAUGAUAUGUCCAGAGGGGCACAUGUAAGGAUGACAGCAGAUUUCUCACUAGAAACAGUGCAAGUAAGAAGACAGUGGAUCAACAUUUUAAAGCAUUAAAACAAACAAACAAACGAACAAAAAACUGUCAAGCUAGAAUUCCAUACCCAGCAAAAACCAACUUUCAAAAGUGAAGGCAAAACUAAGAUUUUUCAGACAUACAAAAUCUGAAAAAAUUCAUCACCAGCAGAUCUGCACUACAAAAAUGUUAAAGAUAGUCCUUGAGGCAGAAAGAUAACACCAGAUGGAAUUAUGCAUCUGCAUAAAGGAAUGAAGAGCAUCAGAAUGGUUCUGGCAGCCUGUGACAAGGAAAGGCGGGACGGAGAGCCAACCCGCCUAGGCGCUGGAGCUGGUGCGAGCGCAGUCGGUCCUUGCGCGGACGCAGCCUGGGCUCUGGGAUCCGUAGCCGCCCGCAGAGGGCGCUCGGGUUGGGGCGCUCGCGGGUCUCGGGGCGCAGGCG